RNAcentral lists this long non-coding RNA (585 nucleotides) under Musa acuminata (dwarf banana). Its description in RNAcentral is "long non-coding RNA (MACU_LNC006231)". Lineage: Eukaryota; Viridiplantae; Streptophyta; Magnoliopsida; Zingiberales; Musaceae. The record is from RNAcentral.
UUGAGCUGGUUGUAAGACACGUUGAACUGGACCAGGUUGGGAAAGUCGAGGACCGGGAUCUCGCCCGUUAGCCGGUUGUUUUCGAGGUAGAGCGUACCGAGGCGGGAGAGGUUGUUGAGCGCCAACGGGAUCCCGCCGGUGAACUUGUUACCGGCUAGAUUGAGGCGGACGAGGUUCUUGAGGGAGGAGACGAAGGGCGGGAUCUCGCCGGAGAAGUCGUUGCCCUGGAGGUAAAGGUUCCGGAGCUCGGUGAGGCCGGCGAGCUCCGGAGGGAGAGGUCCGGAGAGCGCGUUGAACCGAAGGCUGAGGGUGUGGAGGGCGGUAAGGUUGCCGAGGGCGGCGGGGAUCUGCCCGAUGAGGCCGGCGCCAGGUAGGCGGAGCUCGUCGACGCGGCCGGACUCGCAAGCGACACCCUGCCAGGAACACGGCGCGCCAGGGGCGGAGGAGUUCCACGUCGGCAGCGCCGACCGGCCGACGGCUUCGCGGAAGGCGAGUAGAGCCGCGGCGUCAGCCGCCAGAUCCGGGGCCCCGCCGGGGAGGCAAGCCAGCAGCAGGAUGGCGCUGGCGAGGAGGCGGAGCCAGACC